CUAAAAGGAAAGAAUACACAGAGUACAGUUGGAUAGAAGAGGAAGAAUUCUAGUCUGACCUGCGGUGGUUAGAGGAGGCUUCUAGGCAGAGUGAGUAUCUGUCCUGAAGCUUAAGAGCCAGAAGUUACCAGCAAGGAAGAGGGAAGGUCGGUUAUGUAGUCCUCUGGAAAUAUUAGGUAAUGCUUCAUUGUGGCUGGAAUGUUGAGGGUAUAUGACAUUUGAGGACCCUGAAAUGUUGAGGAUGAAGUUUGGAAUCUACUCAGAUCUUACAGGGAUAUUAGUAUUCCAUCUAAAGAUGUUUGAAGUUUAUCCUGAAGGUGAUUAUUAGGGAUACAGCAAAAUGGAAUUAAAAUUUUUGAAAUAGAACUAUGGGGUGGGUUUCAUUGGAGACUUGUAGACCAGACUCGUAGACCAGGUUAUCGUAGUAAUCUGGGUGAGUAAUGAAGGCCAAAAGUGAUGAUGGGCACAGUGGUACAUGUGCCCUAGUUUGUCUGUUUUGGGGUAGAGGGAAGGAUUCUCUUCUGGCAACAGGAGUUAGCAGAGGAAUUGCAAUAACAUUCAAUAAAUGUGGAAUCAGUAAGUUGUGCAGUAAAUGUUGGAGCAAUGAAUUGUAGAGCACUUACUGCAUAUGUCUGUUCCUGAAACUGGAGAGAAGGAAGAGAGAUUAAUUAAAGAAGGUUUUAAUGCUUUGUCUUGGAAUGGUGCUCAGUUCUUACUGGAAAGCUGAAUUUUCUGGUAAAGGAGUGUUGGGUGCUCUGUAGUAAAUAAGUAAACAGGUUAAUUCCUCAGCAGAAUAAAAAAGAACAUUAUUAAAAAAUCAUGAUUAAGAAGGUAGUAAAACUUACGAUUUUAUAAGUGGUAUCUCUGUUUGAUAGGAUAUCCAGAAAAUUGGAAAAUGUACAACAAAAAUAAAGAUGACCUUGUCACAAUCCAAAGAAAAACAGUGUAGUAAAAGCACUUUUUUCUUUAAAAUGAUAGGUUGGGUACCAGUGGAGAAAACCAGUAAACAGUAUUGCUGGCAUUCCUCUGUAGUUAACUGUGAGUUUGAAAUCGCCCUGGUGCUGAAGCAUCAUCCUGAUGAGCCUGGUCUUCUGGAAAUGACUGCAGUGCCGCUGUCUGAUCUCUUAGAACAGACACUGGAGCUUAUAGGAACAAACGUUAAUGGAAAUCCAUGUGGUUAGGAAGCAAGAAGCAUCUGUUACAUCUUCUCAUACCACAUGGAGCAUUUCAAAUAAGAAAUCUACCUGGCUUGAAGCACAGUGAUCUGUUGUCCUGGUUUGAAGGUUGCAGAGAGGGUGCUGGAAAUACAGAGUCAACAAAACAAUGUCUCUGCCUUCAUGAAGCUCACAUUCUAAUGGGGUAGACAAUAAACAAGAAAAUAUGUAAUAUGUCAGGAGGAGAACAGCUGUGAAAAAACAAGGGUCCACCGCCAUCAUCUUGGUUUGUGCUGGCCAAUCCCAGAUACUUAUCUGAAUUCACAACCAGUUAUAAUCAACAUGAACCUGAACAAAUAUGUUUAUGCCUUUGAUACUAAGUGUUUAUUUAAUUAUUUUUCAAAAAUAGAUAAUCAGAAAUUUAGUAGGCUGAAAGAUAUAAUACUUGAUAUAUAAACUGGAAAUGCCAUUAAAAACCAGCUUUAUUGUUAUAUUUGAAUCUUCAAUACCCCGCAUGUUCAAAAGAUAAAAAUGGCUCACGGUUCCUAAUUAUUCAGUGCCUAAUAUAGCAAUAUGUCUUCCAGCAUUUGAAGAAAUGAAUUCCCCAAUUGCAAAUAUCUAUUCAAAAUUUUAUUUAGAAUCAACGAAUGAAUUUUACUUUGGACUUGAAAAUAUAAUAGUAAGCUCUCUAGUUUGUACAAAGGUUGGAUUCUAUCUAUCAUAAGAGGGUAGGAGUUAAAAGACAACAAUUAAACCAACAAUUUUAGAUAAUUUAUUUUCAAAAUUAAAUAGUUAAAGCUGAAUUUAAUCUUAUAUAUUGAAUAAAACAUGGCUCAACUUCACAACAUAUAUAUAAAUGAUUUGAGAAUCUUAACACAUGUAAGUAUAUAUAAAACUCCAAUUUUAAAAUCAUUUUUUACCCUCAUACCAAAAAACUUCAAACACAAACAUACAGAAAUGCAUCAUAGCUUAUUGCCUGUUUGAUAAACCAUAAAUUACUCUAAAAGUCUUCAAAAAUAUACUUUUCUAAUAUGUUAAAAAUAUCACAUAGUUUUAUGUACUAAAACUUCCAAUUUAGGUAAAAGUACAAGGUAUUGGGAAGGAAUGUAGCUCAGAGACUUGCUUGACUUCCAGGUUGAAUUUUAACUUAAUGGGGAAAUAAGUAGGACUUUCUUCUUCAUCUUCCAGCUGUUCAGAAGCAGCAACAGGACUAGUUAAUUCAACUCCAAACUGUUCAGAAACUUUUUACAACUUCUCUUCCAAAAGAAUGUUUUUUUCACUUCUUCUUUGUAAUUAUACUUUAGAUCUUUGAUUUCUUGAAAAAAUGAAGGAUCAAAAUUUUCCAGUUCUUUCUUCAGCUUUUUUACUUCCUCCUAAUAGAAACAUACAAUCUUGAAAAGCUGUGUCGAGGAAUAUAAUAUAUUUUCUAGAUUUGAACGAAGGAGAUUUAGUUACAAACAUGAAAGCCAAAGUAACCUGAAUGGUCAAAUAUAAAGGCAGAAGUAUGUCCUUAAGAUUUUGUUCUUAAGGCCUCAUUGCACAGUAUAACUCACUUAACUUGUUAACUGUCAAAUCAAAUUAUUUGUUAGUUAUGUCCUAGUCUUUGACUAAAAUUUAUCAACUCUUAAAUUACAGGGGAUUGACUCUUUAAGGAAGUACUUACUCCCAAUGUAGCAACCAAAAAACUUGGCUAUUCACAAUGUUGAAGUUAUUUUGGUUAAAAUUCCUUGGUUUAUAUUUUCUUCAUAAAUAUCUAAUUUUUAAUGAAUAAUGGUCAAAUUCUUAUAAGCAUAUUUAUGAUCAGGGAAACUGUAGGGCUUCUGCCUGGAAAAGAGGCGUCUUGUAAAGAGACAAUUUGAGCUUUAAUGACCACUUAGAAUGGUCACUAGUCAAUUCUCAAAUUCAUGCUCCUCUGUUUACAGAUUCUUAGAUAAAAGAUAGCAAAUAUCUUUCUUUAAAGGAGCUAUUCCUGAAAAGUAUUUCAAAAUAAUCACUGUUCUCAAUGUGAUUCCAAAAUUACAAGUUGUUGAUGAGCUGUAUCUGUGACAAUGAAAAAAUUAAUUUACCCUUUAAUUCUAUUUGUUUUGUCUAAGUUUCUUUUGGUAGCUCUUAAGAAAUAUUUAUUUUUAACACAGAUGAAUAUAAUGAACUUGGCAAUAUCAAGGUCAGGUAUAAGAUGCAUUUUUAGGAUACAUACUUAAAACUCAGAUUACCAUCAUAGAACUAGUUUUCAAAAAACAUAGUGCUAUAAUAGAUAUAAUUAAAUAUCUAAUUACCAUGAAGUGCUGCUUUUCUAGAUCUGAGGUUUUGAGCUGUGUUUCUAGAUCUUUUACCUUUUCUUUAGUUGAUAAGGAUCUGCCAAAAAAAUUAAAAUCAGACUUAGCCCUUUCCCAAUCUGAUAAAGGAUUUGUUUAAGAGAAUAAGGGAAAAACUCAAUGGCACCAGAGCCUGGAAAACAUGGCAUUUUAUGGCUGAAACACUUUUCAGGCUGUGAAUCCUGUAUGCUAUCCGGUAUUAUAAUUCCACGGCAGACAAGGACGAGGCAUCUGGUAGGUACCAGAAGCACAGAGUCAGGUUAACUCUUUAUGUGGAAGAAGCUAUUUUCCAGAGAAAACUUCUACAGACAAGAAAAUUUGUUAGGUACCAGAAGUACAACAGAAGCACACCUGGCCUGUGAAAAUACGCCGGUGAAAUGCUUCUGUUCCCAAGAGCACUGGCUAUUCCAUGUCGGUACACUUAACAGUGUAAUUACUAUGUAAAAAUAUUCUGAAUUGGUGGUUAACACAAAGAUGAAUAAAACCUGCUGACUUUGGUAGGAAACACAAGUAUACAACUAUAGCACAAGGACUUCAAUUUACCAUAGUUAACACAUGUCUAAUAUAACAAGAAUCAAUGGGCAAUAGGACUAAUUGCCAUCUUUGCUAGAAACUUAUAUUUUCUUUAAAUACUACAUAUGAUGUGUCUUGUGGUCACAUUUUACAGCCACUGAAGGGUAAAAUUGUUUGAAUAGUGCUAGUUAGAGAAAAUACUGGACAACCAAUGCACUUUCAUGAAUGGGACAGGAAGCACAUUCUAUUAAGGUGCCCUUGGAACAGUUUCCUCCCUAAUUAUAAGUUGGAGACAGGAAAUUUUUUCCAUAUCCUCCCUUAUGCGAAUGGAGUCAGAACUCACCUUCCUUUGGAAGGCAGAGCAAAAUCAUACUUUUCAAAGCUCUCUUCACCUUUGUAGAAAGUGUUGAUUUUUUUACACAGUUGGUUCACUCUCACUGGGAUGCUAUAUAUAGUGAGUUGAUUGUCUUAGUGGGACGCUACAUGUUACACAGAUUGGUAGGGAAAUAAUGCAGUAAAAGUAUUUACUGUGCAUCGCACUUUACAAAAGUUAGCUUAGUGAAAACUUGUAUUUGAAUAGUGCCUUAGAAUUUGCAAAAUAGUUUUGGUUUGAUUCUGGGCUUUAACAAUAGUUUAAAUAUGAUAGGAUCCUUAUCUCCUAGAAGACGAUGAGGGUUCAGAAAUUCCCUCUCAGGAAACUGAGGUUUAGAAAGAACUUGCAUAAUGUCAACAGCAUUAACAGGUGGAGGGCACUGUAUCUAGUAAGAUGAAGCUGGCAGCCCCAGGACUGUUGAGAGGUUUAUGUAUGCGGCAAUGCAGUGCAGUGGACAGCAGGGAAAGGCAAGCAGUGUUGGAGUUUCAUAGAUCUAGGUUUCAUCCUGCCUCUGCCACUUCCUGGCUGCAGUGACCUUGGGGACAGGAUACUUAACCUCUUUGAAUCUGUUUAUGGAGUCAGUGAUACCCACCAUACAGACUUAUAAUCAUUAAAAUGUAAAAUGCUUGUAAAGCACUAAGCAUAGUGUCUGGUACAACUCAUACAGCAUAGUCUUAAUACAAAAGAGCAACAGGACUGUGUGGUAGGAUACUGAAAAAGCUAUAUGAAAAUAGUCAAAAACUGUAAUAUACAAAUAUAAAUUGGUAUUAAUUGUUUGGGAUAGAAUUUGGCAUUUCCAUCAAGCUAUCAAAUAUACAUACAAAUAACUGAUUCUCAUUUGCAGUUCUGUUCUAGAAAGUCAACAUGAACAAUGACUAGGUGACGGGUCAUUUCUCUUAGAACACAUACACAUAUAUCUCACAUAGAUUAUAAUCUUAAAUCCUGGAAACAUUUCAUCUUAGUAGCUUAUACGUUCUUUUACAAAAGAGAAAACGAAGUUGAGAAGUGUCAAGUGACUUCUGAGGCUGCACUGCUAACAAGUGUCAGAGCAGGGAUCUAAAUCCGUCCAGUUGGCCCCCAAACCGGAGUUUCUUGGCUCUUUACGGCACUGCCCCCUACUGUUUCCUUUCUCUGAUCACCUCUGUAUGAAAGCUGGACAAGCGCAGAACCUGUUGGAGUUCAUUUGUUAAGUGUGGGUCAUAACUUAAUUUUUCGCUGCUCUGUAUCUCUGCAAAAGCACCAUGAGUACUGACUUGGAGGUUAUGAGUAAGUUUUAGUGAGUAGGAGAAUUUGCAAGUACAGAAUCUGCAAAUAAUGGGGAUCAACUUCAUUUUGUGUGUGUAGAUAUAUAUAUACACAUGCAUUAAGUCUAUAUGUAUACACAUACAUACAGGAGUCAUUACUUCUGAAUGCAAAUGGGAGGGAAUAGAAGAACAGACUGACUUUGUAAAAGGAAAAAAUAUAGGCAAGAUGACUUACGUAGUUUUUAAAUUAUCAACAAGAUGACAGUAACAUUUAGAAGAUAAUGUUCAGAGGGCUUAAAAGGGCCUGUACUUAGAAACUGGAAGCAACAGACCUAAUAUUAAAUAUGUAACAUCCAUAUGGAACACAAGGAGCAAAAACACUUGGAAUAGUUGCUACUCAAUAUUACAAACAGCUCAAUUUAUUGUUGCAUGGAGGAAACAUUUCUAAAAACUUACAUUAGAGAUUUGGUUUUCUAGGAAGAUAGUUACCAAAAAUCUGAACAAACAAAAAAGGCAAACCUUAAUUCAAAAUCUUGGGUAAGUAAACUUUCCAUUAUUAGUUAUAAAAUACACUUACCAGGUAUGGUGCUUUCAGCUCCACUUUGGUUUUUAUUAACUUCUAUCUGAUGGAUUAACUCUGCUGUUUCUUUCUCCAGCUGACUUAGCAAGCCUAGAACACAGUGGUGAUGUGUUGAAACAAAAGCACAGACAUUGCUCCGUGAACUAUAUGGGCAUUUCUAAAGAACUGUAUGAUGUACAGUGCUUAGGACUUGCUUAUAUUUAUAAAGGUAAACAUUUAUUCAUUUAUCAUCACUGCUGCAGUGCUACCAUUCUCAGAGGUCAUGAAAUCAAAAUUCUUCAUGUUUUUCUUAAAAUCUGACCUGAUGUCAUUUUGAAGAGCAGUUUUCCUACCGGAGGAGUCUCUUGAGAGUAUGUUACACAGACCCUCGCAGUGAAGAAUUGUUUUUCUCUCUUUCAUUAUUUUGUACCUCUGGAAAGCUAAUGUCUGAUAUAUUCUAUGCUGUUAAAAUUUAAACUGAAUUACAAGCUUGACACCCGUAUUAGGAUUUGGCUUGCCCUUUUUUUGUAUCUAUGAUGUAGAAGAAUGGCAUAAGAAUAAAAAUAGGCUGAUAAGCUAUUUGGCAGCAAGGUUAAAAAAUCCUCAUCAUCUCUAGACAUAACAAACCUGGUUAUAUUAAAAGAUAAUUAAGGGAAAAAAAGCAGGUGAACAGAUAAUGUGCCUAAGAACUUGAAGCUUCCGCCGAAGACUUUGUUCUGUCUCAUCACCUUCAGGAAUAUGUUUGAGAAUCUCAAUCUUUGGGCACAAUGAAAAGUCGGAAGACAAAGUUGACAUGGAAAUGUAUGAGGUUUUAUAAAGAUACACAUUUUGAAUAAAGCAAAACAUUAAACAUGAGCACACAUUUAUGGUGUUCUGUUCAUUAUUCGUUUAACAGUUAUUAAGUAACUGCUCGUGUUAGGCUUGUCUGAGGCAUAGAGGAUACAACAUGUGAAAGAGGAAACCAGAUGCCAGAUCAUGAAAACAGCCUUUAAAUUUCAUUCUGGGAUAAUUAGGGAACCAAUGGAAGGUUCUAAGAACGGGACUGCUGUGAUUUUCUUUGUUUUGUUUGCUUGGCAAUUACGUGAAGAAUAGACUGAGUCAGGGAGAAGGUGAAACAAGGCAAGAGUAGGAGCCGGGAGACCAGUUAGGAAAAUUUGCAAUAGUUCAGAUGUGAGAGAAUAGCUUGGCCUCGACUGGCAGUGUUAGAGGUGCUGAGACGUGGUCACAUUCGGGACAUUUUGAAAAUAGAGCUGAGAUGAUACAAUAAAAAAGAUGUGGGGUAUGAGAGAAAGAAAGGAAUUAAUGACCCACGGUUUUUGGUUUAAACAAAUGGGUGAAUAGUGGCGCCACUCUUAGACGGGCCACCUGGGGAAGAGUUAAUAGUUCAUUUUUACCUUCAAAAGACAGUACCAAGAAGUGGCUUGACAUACAACAGAUUGUCUUACCAUGUGAAAAAACAAAAAAC
This is a non-coding RNA of Manis javanica (Malayan pangolin), 7623 nucleotides long. NCBI's taxonomy places the organism in Eukaryota, Metazoa, Chordata, Mammalia, Pholidota, Manidae. The record is from RefSeq and is a predicted model, not a curated record.